GUUGGACAUAACCAUUGAACUACAAAGUUAUUUCAAAUUCAAUGCCUUUUGGCCGUGGUAAUUUUCUUUAAGUGGAUCUUCCAUUAGACUAUAAGCUCCCUGAGGGCUGGGACUAUUUUUGUUUUUAUUUGUACCCCUACAUCCAACACAUAGUAGUUACUUAAUAAAUGUUUUUUGACUGACCCACCUUGCAUAAAUUCCUAAAUAAUUUUAACAUAUUUAAGUGAGUCUAUUUUUUUUUUAUAAUAUGUAUGCUUUAUUAAAAGUGUUACUGCUCAGUAGAUUUCUGAACAGAGUCAAAGAAUUUCAUGGAAAGGGCUAAACCCUAAGAUACUUAUAUGUGUGAUAUAGAUACAACGUAGGCAGUUCAUCCUGAUUGGGCAACAGCUCUGCUCUUAUCAACUCUGCGUCACUUCCUCCCGGACACAUACUUCCGUUCAUAAAAUCAUUUUGGAUAUUUUAAGAUGUCUAUCUUAAGGGCUUCAGAAGGAGUCGUUACACUCAGAACUGAUGCGUGUGCACUGGACUCUACUCAAUAUCAGGACCAGGUCAAGGGGUCAAAGGUGAAGGGUCACACAUUAUUGAAAGGAAAUCCAAAAGGACAUCGGCAUCAUGAGCUUUCCUUAGUGUUUCAGUGGUGCCUCUCUUUGGGACUCAACUCAACAUUUGAUUUCUCCAGGAAACCUUUGCCAGUGAGCUCAGGACCACCCACCAGCCCUCACCACUUUGGGAGGAAGAGAAGUAGAGUGCUACCUCAUUGCCACAGAUCAAAGAAGACAUGAGUCUGAAUCCACCGUCAGGCAUUUGCCCGCUGUGGUGCUGGGCAAGCCACUUCAUUUCUGUUGUCUGUUUCCUCAUCUAUACAAUGAGGAUAAUCAUAGCCCUUACUUCCCAGAGUUGUUGCAAGGAUCAAGUGAAAUAAUAAUGGUAAAAGUAUUAGCCCAUUGCUUGGCACAUAGUAGGACCUUUAUAAAUAUUAGCUAUUAUUAUUAAUCUCCUAACACCUUGGUUUCUACUGAAGCAUUGAUAUAUGCUUGAAGUUGGCAAUUUUUCAUGAAAAUCAUCUUUUCUUCCUCCUUUCCUCAUAUUAAUCAGUUAGAGGAACUGAAUUCAAUUUUCUUAUUAUUCUCCAAUACCUCUGUGUCUCUGGAACAUUAAUCAAGUUUCUUGUCUUGCAACGAGUGUCUUGCUUGCAACGAGUGUCUGUCUCCAGGCCACAAGGCAGUAUUCCUAUGGUACUGUGAGGUUGGCAUUGAUGUGGCAAAGAACUCUGUGGAGCUGGGAAAGCAUAAACACACGGCAUGUAAAUAAAAGAUGCCCUCCCACUUUCCCUUUAAAUUCC
RNAcentral lists this long non-coding RNA (1342 nucleotides) under Monodelphis domestica (gray short-tailed opossum). RNAcentral's name for it is "lncRNA (ENSMODG00000046712.1)". The record is from RNAcentral. Lineage: Eukaryota; Metazoa; Chordata; Mammalia; Didelphimorphia; Didelphidae.